This 194-nucleotide ribosomal RNA is filed under the name uncultured bacterium. RNAcentral describes it as "partial 16S rRNA". It matches the Rfam family "Bacterial small subunit ribosomal RNA", at positions 338 to 524 of the family's 1533-position model. The record is from RNAcentral.
CCUACGGGAGGCAGCAGUGGGGAAUAUUGGACAAUGGGCGAAAGCCUGAUCCAGCAAUGCCGCGUGUGUGAAGAAGGCCUUCGGGUUGUAAAGCACUUUAAGUUGGGAAGAAAAAAUUCCACCUAAUACGUGGCAGUCUUGACGGUACCGACAGAAUAAGCACCGGCUAACUCUGUGCCAGCAGCCGCGGUAAU